Trichosurus vulpecula (common brushtail) is the source of this 107-nucleotide small nuclear RNA. The record is from RefSeq and is a predicted model, not a curated record. Lineage: Eukaryota; Metazoa; Chordata; Mammalia; Diprotodontia; Phalangeridae.
GUGCUUGCUUCUGCAGCAUAUAAACUAAAAUCGGAGCGAUGCAUAGGAGAUUAGUAUGGCCCCUGUGUAAAGAUGACAUGCAAAUUCAUGAAGUGUUCCAUAUUUUU